Ailuropoda melanoleuca (giant panda) is the source of this 73-nucleotide non-coding RNA. The record is from Rfam. Lineage: Eukaryota; Metazoa; Chordata; Mammalia; Carnivora; Ursidae.
ACCUGGCUGGCUCAGUCGGUAAAGCAUGUGACUCUUGAUCUCAGGGCCAUGAGUUCAAGCUCCAUGUGGGGUG